UGUAAUUUAGUUUAGAUAGAAUAUUUAUUUUUGGUGUAAAUGGGUAUAAUUACAA
Molecule: transfer RNA, 55 nt
Filed under: Strongylus vulgaris
Lineage: Eukaryota; Metazoa; Nematoda; Chromadorea; Rhabditida; Strongylidae
Description: tRNA-Gln
Source: RNAcentral